AGUUGUAAUUUGCAGAGGAUGCUUCGGGUUCGGUUCCGGUCUAAGUUCCUUGGAACAGGACGUCAUAGAGGGUGAGAAUCCCGUAUGUGACCGGCCGCCACGCCCGUGUGAAGCUCCUUCGACGAGUCGAGUUGUUUGGGAAUGCAGCUCAAAAUGGGUGGUAAAUUUCAUCUAAAGCUAAAUAUUGGCCAGAGACCGAUAGCGCACAAGUAGAGUGAUCGAAAGAUGAAAAGCACUUUGGAAAGAGAGUCAAACAGUACGUGAAAUUGUUGAAAGGGAAGCGCUUGCAACCAGACUUGCCCACGGGUGAUCAGCCGGUAUUUUUACCGGUGCACUCGCCUGUGGUCAGGCCAGCAUCGGUUUGGGCGGCUGGAUAAAGUCCACUGGAAUGUAGCUCCUCUCGGGGAGUGUUAUAGCCAGAGGUGCCAUGCAGCCCGCCCGGACCGAGGACCGCGCUUCGGCUAGGAUGCUGGCGUAAUGGUUGUAAGCGACCCGUCUUGAAACACGGACCAAGGAGUCUAACAUCUAUGCGAGUGUUUGGGUGUCAAACCCAUGCGCGUAAUGAAAGUGAACGGAGGUGGGAACCCUUAAGGGUGCACCAUCGACCGAUCCUGAUGUCUUCGGAUGGAUUUGAGUAAGAGCAUAGCUGUUGGGACCCGAAAGAUGGUGAACUAUGCCUGAAUAGGGUGAAGCCAGAGGAAACUCUGGUGGAGGCUCCAGCGGUUCUGACGUGCAAAUCGAUCGUCAAAUU
RNAcentral lists this ribosomal RNA (751 nucleotides) under Sarcogyne poeltii. RNAcentral describes it as "Sarcogyne sp. EH-2022b partial large subunit ribosomal RNA". It matches the Rfam family "Eukaryotic large subunit ribosomal RNA", at positions 141 to 911 of the family's 3401-position model. The record is from RNAcentral. Lineage: Eukaryota; Fungi; Ascomycota; Lecanoromycetes; Acarosporales; Acarosporaceae.